UUUUCCCUGGGUUUUGAAUUUGCAGUAACAGGUGUGAACAUUCUAGCAGCAGUUUGAUGAUCAUGUAUGAUACUGCAAACAGGACCUGC
MicroRNA precursor from Cavia porcellus (domestic guinea pig), 89 nucleotides. The record is from Ensembl. Lineage: Eukaryota; Metazoa; Chordata; Mammalia; Rodentia; Caviidae.